Molecule: ribosomal RNA, 117 nt
Filed under: Planctomycetota bacterium
Lineage: Bacteria; Pseudomonadati; Planctomycetota
Source: RNAcentral
UCGGGCUGCCAUACCGGUGGGGAAACACCCGGCUCCAUUCCGAACCCGGAAGUUAAGCCCACCAGGGCCGAUGGUACUGCACCCGUAAGGGUGUGGGAGAGUAGGUCGCAGCCCGGG